RNAcentral lists this small RNA (250 nucleotides) under Arabidopsis thaliana (thale cress). RNAcentral describes it as "ATSL161100". The record is from RNAcentral. Lineage: Eukaryota; Viridiplantae; Streptophyta; Magnoliopsida; Brassicales; Brassicaceae.
UUUUGUCAUGUUGACUUCGGAGAUCUUGUUCGUAAUUCUGUGAUAAUGUUUGAUAACUUCUCUGCCCAGUUUGUUUGAAAUUCAGUACUUGAUGUUCUCUAUUGGACAGAAGAUGAACAUAUGGACUACGACACUUGGACAAUCCGUAAUGGACAACCACACAUUUUGUUUGCAGCGUAUGUGUCGUUACAAAAUUGAAAAUCAUUGUCCACGACUAUACAUGACUGCACAGCUUGGUGUUUGAUAAUUC